This 301-nucleotide ribosomal RNA is filed under the name uncultured bacterium. RNAcentral's name for it is "partial 16S ribosomal RNA". It matches the Rfam family "Bacterial small subunit ribosomal RNA", at positions 509 to 807 of the family's 1533-position model. The record is from RNAcentral.
CAGCCGCCGCGGUAAUACCGAGGGUGCGAGCGUUAAUCGGAUUUACUGGGCGUAAAGCGUGCGUAGGCGGCUUCUUAAGUCGGAUGUGAAAUCCCUGAGCUUAACUUAGGAAUUGCAUUCGAUACUGGGAAGCUAGAGUAUGGGAGAGGAUGGUAGAAUUCCAGGUGUAGCGGUGAAAUGCGUAGAGAUCUGGAGGAAUACCGAUGGCGAAGGCAGCCAUCUGGCCUAAUACUGACGCUGAGGUACGAAAGCAUGGGGAGCAAACAGGAUUAGAGACCCCAGUAGUCCCUGUCUCUUAUAC